ACAGUUCUUGUUAGUACGGAGUUCGAGGUCAUGGACCUUUUUCGCCGUAAUUAUCACUCGGAAAAUUGGCUUAUAAGCUGAUUUUGCAUGUGUCGCAUUUUGGUGUUCGUUCUUUUCAACUUCUGAUUUUUUUAAAAUCUGUAUGAUAUUUGAAGGUCUGAGGACUUCUGUAUUUUAAAGUGAAAUUUGCGCGGAAGUAAACCAUUUGCAACUGUGUUUGAGAAGUCGAGGAAAUUGUAUUAUUUUUUAAACAAAUUUUUCUCGAAAACAAGUGUAAUCAUAUUUCAAGGUGAAUUAUUAUUUGCUCUUUAUAGUGACUGUGCUGGGCAUGCGAUUUUCGGAAUUGUAGCAUACGGACGUUUAUAAGUAGAAUAAUAAUUAGAACAAGAAAUUGUUUAAUAUUGUAUUCGAAGUUCAUAGUAAACUGUGGAGCAGAUAUAAAAAUAAGUCGUAAACAUUCCAAUGGCUGGAGCCAAUCACAAAACGUUUUCCUAUCAAGCUUAGUGCCCAGUCGUGGUCACCAAGUAUUUAUUUUAUUCAGUCUCGUUGCUAGUGUUUCAGUAGACCCUUAAUUUUUCUUGCAUUUCGUUGUCAGCUUCAGGUACGUCUGUCGUAUUCGUUAGGUAGAUGAUAUUGCUAGUCUCCAUUACGCUGUGUAUUAAAGUGAAGUUACUGACAAACACUGAAUCUGAAGUGAGAUUAGCUUGGAUUAUGGGAACGAUCCGAUGGAAGAAAAAGUGUUUGGAAGUUCGGCGUUGAGGUUAUCAGUACUGUGUUAAAAACGAGUUCGUGUAUUUCGUGUAUUGGAUUUCAUAUAGUGGAUGGAGGUUGAUGCAGCACGUGCCAGCCAGCCCUGAACUGUCAUUGGCCUACCGUUUGGAGGGGUCACCCGAAUGAGAUUAGUUGUGUACACCUGGAUGAAUGGCGGUUGAUCUAACAGCGAUAGCACAUCCAUGUCAGGCAAACGUCGAUCCAGGAUGUGUGCAGCCUUCAAUCUCAUUAGGUGGCCCCUUCAUUUAACAAGGGUGCUUCCUAGAUAAUGGCUCAUGAUAAUGGAUAAUGAACAACCCCAUCAGGAGCUGGUGAAAUGUGUGGUGGUGGGAGACACUGCUGUGGGCAAGACACGUCUCAUCUGUGCUCGGGCAUGCAACAAACAUGUCUCACUGUCUCAGCUUCUAACAACCCACGUACCAACAGUCUGGGCCAUAGACCAGUACCGUAUUUACAAGGAUGUAUUGGAGCGUUCAUGGGAGGUGGUUGAUGGCGUGAAUGUUUCAUUGCGGUUGUGGGACACAUUUGGUGAUCAUGAGAAGGAUAGACGAUUUGCAUAUGGCAGGUGUGUAUGAAGGCACAGGCUAGUAAGUUAAAAGUUUUUAACAAGUUACG
Zootermopsis nevadensis is the source of this 1386-nucleotide non-coding RNA. Lineage: Eukaryota; Metazoa; Arthropoda; Insecta; Blattodea; Termopsidae. The record is from RefSeq and is a predicted model, not a curated record.